UACGUAGGGCGCAAGCGUUGUCCGGAAUUAUUGGGCGUAAAGAGCUCGUAGGCGGUCUGUUACGUCCGCUGUGAAAACCCAGGGCUUAACCCUGGGCUUGCAGUGGAUACGGGUAGACUAGAGGCAGGUAGGGGAGAAUGGAAUUCCCGGUGUAGCGGUGAAAUGCGUAGAUAUCAAGAGGAACACCUGAGGUGAAGACGGGUUGCUGGGCCAACACUGACGCUGAUGCGCGAAAGCCAGGGGAGCAAACGGG
Molecule: ribosomal RNA, 253 nt
Filed under: uncultured bacterium
Lineage: Bacteria
Description: partial 16S ribosomal RNA
Rfam family: Bacterial small subunit ribosomal RNA
Source: RNAcentral